UACGUAGGGUGCGAGCGUUGUCCGGAAUUAUUGGGCGUAAAGAGCUCGUAGGCGGUCUGUCGCGUCGAUCGUGAAAACUUGGGGCUUAACCCUGAGCUUGCGGUCGAUACGGGCAUGACUGGAGUUCGGCAGGGGAGACUGGAAUUCCUGGUGUAGCGGUGAAAUGCGCAGAUAUCAGGAGGAACACCGGUGGCGAAGGCAGGUCUCUGGGCCGAUACUGACGCUGAGGAGCGAAAGCGUGGGGAGCGAACAGG
RNAcentral lists this ribosomal RNA (254 nucleotides) under uncultured bacterium. RNAcentral describes it as "partial 16S ribosomal RNA". It matches the Rfam family "Bacterial small subunit ribosomal RNA", at positions 524 to 776 of the family's 1533-position model. The record is from RNAcentral.